UAUCGGUAGGGGAGCGUUCUGUUGUAGGUCGAAGUAUUAGCGUAAGCGGGUAUGGACGAAGCAGAAGUGAGAAUGUCGGCUUGAGUAACGAAAAUAUUGGUGAGAAUCCUAUACCCCGAAAACCCAAGGUUUCCUCCGGAAGGCUCGUCCGCGGAGGGUAAGUCAGGACCUAAGGCGAGGCUGAAAAGCGUAGUCGAUGGACAACGGGUUAAUAUUCCCGUACCGUUUUUUAUUGAUAUCGAGGGACGGAGAAGGCUAAGCUAGCCGGAUAUUGGUUUUACCGGUUUAAACGUUCGAGAUGUUGAGAAGCGGAGAAAACGCUUUGAGUUGAGACGUGAGUACGAGACGCUAAGGCGUCGAAGUAGUGGAUGUCAUACUUCCAAGUAAAGCUUGCACUGUCAUAAAUAAAAAAUGCCUGUACCAUAACCGACACAGGUGGGUAAGUAGAGUAUACUAAGGGGCGCGAGAUAACUCUCUCUAAGGAACUCGGCAAAAUAACUCCGUAACUUCGGGAGAAGGAGUGCCUUAUUCUUAAGGUUGCAAUAACAAGAUCCAAGCAACUGUUUAUCAAAAACACAGGUCUCCGCUAAGUCGUAAGACGAUGUAUGGGGGCUGACGCCUGCCCAGUGCCAGAAGGUUAAAGAAGUCGGUUAGCAAUAGCAAAGCUGGUAACUGAAGCCCUGGUGAACGGCGGCCGUAACAAUAACGGUCCUAAGGUAGCGAAAUUCCUUGUCGGGUAAGUUCCGACCCGCACGAAAGGCGUAAUGAUUUGGAUGCUGUCUCGGAGAGGGGCUCGGUGAAAUAGACUUGUCUGUGAAGAUGCGGACUACCUGCACCAGGACAGAAAGACCCUAUGAAGCUUUACUGUAACUUGAAAUUGAAAUUGGACUUUAUUCGCGCAGUAUAGGUGGGAGGCGUUGAUUAUAAUCUUGUGGGAUUAUUGGAGCCAUCAGUGAGAUACCACUCUUGUAAUGUUAGAUUUCUAACUUUGAAUCAUUAUCUGGUCAAAGGACAGUUUCAGGCGGGCAGUUUGACUGGGGCGGUCGCCUCCUAAACGGUAACGGAGGCGUACAAAGGUUUCCUCUGAACGGUUAGAAAUCGUAUCUAGAGUGUAAAGGCAUAAGGAAGCUUGACUGUGAGACCUACAAGUCGAGCAGGGACGAAAGUCGGUCUUAGUGAUCUGACGGUACUGAGUGGAAAGGCCGUCACUCAACGGAUAAAAGUUACUCUAGGGAUAACAGGCUGAUCUCCCCCAAGAGUUCACAUCGACGGGGAGGUUUGGCACCUCGAUGUCGGCUCAUCGCAUCCUGGGGCGGUAGUACGUCCCAAGGGUUGGGCUGUUCGCCCAUGAAAGCGGUGCGCGAGCUGGGUUCAGAACGUCGUGAGACAGUUCGGUCCAUAUCCGGUGUAGGCGCUAGAAUAUUGAGAGGAGCCUUCUUUAGUACGAGAGGACCGAGAAGGACAUACCUCUGGUGUACCAGUUAUCGUGCCAACGGUAAACGCUGGGUAGCUAUGUAUGGAGUGGAUAACCGCUGAAAGCAUCUAAGUGGGAAGCCCACCUCAAGAUAAGUAUUCUCAUC
This 1580-nucleotide ribosomal RNA is filed under the name metagenome. RNAcentral describes it as "bacterial LSU rRNA". It matches the Rfam family "Bacterial large subunit ribosomal RNA", at positions 1223 to 2818 of the family's 2925-position model. The record is from RNAcentral.